This 28-nucleotide ribosomal RNA is filed under the name Biomphalaria intermedia. Its description in RNAcentral is "partial 28S ribosomal RNA". Lineage: Eukaryota; Metazoa; Mollusca; Gastropoda; Planorbidae. The record is from RNAcentral.
UAUAUCCGACCUCAGAUCGGGCGAGAUU